GAACUUUUAUUUCUUGGAAAAUGCGCUCAUUCAUAGCACAGCACAGUUAAGAGUUGGAGCUUGAGGCGAAAUUGGCAAGAAAGAUGGUGAAAAUUUGAGGAGUCUUAAGUGCCUGCUUUGACAAAAAGAAAGAUAGAUAGAAAGAAAGGGAGGGAGGGAGGGAGGGAGGGAGGAAGGAAGGAAGGAAGGAAGGAAGGAAGGAAGGAAGGAAGGAAGGUAGGUAGGUAGGUAGGUAGGUAGGUAAAAGGAAUGGACAAAUUCCAGAACAUCGUGCCAAAUGGUUUGAGACAAUCAAUUCUUUUCGACUUGGGGAACAAGCCCGCGAGGGAGAAAGUCUCGCCUCAGGGAAAGGUCACCGAUUUGAUUCUGAAGUCUCCAUCCAC
Thamnophis elegans (Western terrestrial garter snake) is the source of this 383-nucleotide long non-coding RNA. RefSeq lists it as uncharacterized. The transcript is spliced from 2 exons. The record is from RefSeq and is a predicted model, not a curated record. Lineage: Eukaryota; Metazoa; Chordata; Lepidosauria; Squamata; Natricidae.